UACGAAGGGUGCAAGCGUUACUCGGAAUUACUGGGCGUAAAGCGUGCGUAGGCGGUUUGUUAAGUCUGUCGUGAAAGCCCUGGGCUCAACCUGGGAAUUGCGAUGGAUACUGGCAAGCUAGAGUACGGUAGAGGAUGGUGGAAUUCCCGGUGUAGCGGUGAAAUGCGUAGAGAUCGGGAGGAACACCUGUGGCGAAGGCGGCCAUCUGGACCAGUACUGACGCUGAGGCACGAAAGCGUGGGGAGCAAACAGG
RNAcentral lists this ribosomal RNA (253 nucleotides) under uncultured bacterium. RNAcentral describes it as "partial 16S ribosomal RNA". It matches the Rfam family "Bacterial small subunit ribosomal RNA", at positions 524 to 776 of the family's 1533-position model. The record is from RNAcentral.